UACAGAGGGUGCAAGCGUUAAUCGGAAUUACUGGGCGUAAAGCGCACGUAGGCGGUUUUUUAAGUCAGAUGUGAAAGCCCUGGGCUCAACCUGGGGAUUGCACUGGAAACUGUUAGACUAGAGAUCGAGAGAGGAAAAUGGAAUUGCGAGUGUAGAGGUGAAAUUCGUAGAUAUUCGCAAGAACACCGGUGGCGAAGGCGGUUUUCUGGCUCGAACCUGACGCUAAGGCGCGAAAGCGUGGGGAGCAAACAGGAUUAGAUACCCCAGUAGU
Molecule: ribosomal RNA, 271 nt
Filed under: uncultured bacterium
Lineage: Bacteria
Description: partial 16S ribosomal RNA
Rfam family: Bacterial small subunit ribosomal RNA
Source: RNAcentral